Molecule: ribosomal RNA, 775 nt
Filed under: uncultured Neocallimastigales
Lineage: Eukaryota; Fungi; Neocallimastigomycota; Neocallimastigomycetes; Neocallimastigales
Description: partial large subunit ribosomal RNA
Rfam family: Eukaryotic large subunit ribosomal RNA
Source: RNAcentral
AGAGAGAGACAUGCGCGCAUAUCAAUAAGCGGAGGAAAAGAAACUAACAAGGAUUCCCCUAGUAACGGCGAGUGAAGCGGGAAGAGCUCAAAUUUGAAAUCUUAAAGGGUUUCCCUUUACGAAUUGUAGUUUAAAGAAGUGUUUUCUGUUGAGGUUUUGGUAAAAGUUCUUUGGAAUAGGACAUCAUAGAGGGUGAGAAUCCCGUAUUUGACCUUUACUUUCAACUUUGUGAUACACUUUCAAAGAGUCGGAUUGUUUGGGAAUGCAGUCCAAAAUGGGUGGUAAAUUUCAUCUAAAGCUAAAUAUUGGCGAGAGACCGAUAGCGAACAAGUACCGUGAGGGAAAGAUGAAAAGAACUUUGAAAAGAGAGUUAAACAGUACGUGAAAUUGUCAAAAGGGAAGCGUUUGACACCAGUGUUGUUUUUCUGAAAAUCAAUUAAAGAACUGUUUAUGCUAAGUUGUUUAGACUUUAUCAGCUAACUGUUUAGUUUUGAGCUUUUCUUUAAUGCACUUUUCAGUUAACAAGUCAACAUCAAUUUCUUUUGCUGUAAAAAAGCUUGAGGAAGGUGGCUUGAGAUUCGUCUUAAGUGUUUAUAGCCUCUUGCCUAUGCAGUCGGAGAGAUUGAGGUCCUGCAGCGUAGAUCCUUCGGGGCUAAAUGCAUUCGUGCUAAGUUAUAGCAUUUUAUAGACAACUUGUUGACUAUGAUUUGUCUUGUAGCUUACUCGCUUAUGUUAUUUUACCUACGCUUAGGAUGUUGACGCAUGAGAUAUACGC